UAAUCCCUCUGGGUAGUGGUUUUUACGCCACUGCCCGGGCCUUUGGCGCGGGGGAAAUGUCCGCGGUGCUUUGGCACCAGGAGUUUCUCACCCGCUUAAAUGCGGAGAAAGCUAGCCGGCGAUGCCCUAAUGCAACGACUUGUAUGUCCAGCGUCGUAAUGCUUCUGGAGCUCCCGGCCUCUGAACAAUAGGGACCCUCAGGUCCCAGAUGU
Molecule: unclassified non-coding RNA, 212 nt
Filed under: uncultured Dactylella
Lineage: Eukaryota; Fungi; Ascomycota; Orbiliomycetes; Orbiliales; Orbiliaceae
Description: sequence contains ITS2
Source: RNAcentral